AGAAAAUGGUUCAUAUAGCAGAAUACAAUGGUUCAUAGAAAAUCCUCAUUCAUCAAAGUAGACGAUAUGGAGAAAGACGACUAUAGUGAUCCUGAAGCAACUCCGUUGAUCGAUGUAAGUGAAUUUCGUCGUUGGUCUUUUUACCGAGCCAUAAUCGCCGAGUUUGUAGCAACAUUAUUUUUCCUAUACAUCUCUGUCACUGCAUUGAUCGGGUACAAAAACGAACCAGACAAAUGCAACAGCAUAAGUCUGCUUGGAAUCGCAUGGGUGUUCGGAGGCAUGAUUUUCGUACUAGUCUCACUAUAAGAAAAGAGGUCUACAGCGACGAUUUUAGCGACGAUUUUGGAUCGUCGUUAAAUUACAAGAAGGAUUUUGAAGAAAACCCGCGAUAUUCGUCGUUGAUUAUCUUUUUUUUUGUUUAAUUAGCGAUGAUAUGUUGAUGAUCGUCGUUAGAUAUAACAUUUAGCGACGAUUUAAAAUUUAUCAUCGCUAAUAAUGCGGACCUAUUUAUAAAAUUUUAAAAAAAUAAGGUAUUAUUUAUAAAUUUCCCAAAAGUAAUGUUAUUUCCCCCCCAAAUCGAUUUCCCCCCAAAACUCCCAAAACCCAAUUUAUUAAAUUAGGACCAAUUUAUUAAAUUACCCAAUUAAAUUCCCAAAUUUCCCCAAAUACUUCCCCUAAACCUAAACCCUCCAUUUACCCCAAAUUUUUCCCAAAUUAAAAUACUAAAGUUGAUUAUUUAAAGGUUAAAAAUUUAAAAUACCCAUUUAUAAAAUAAGUAUUUAAACCCAAACCCCUAAAUUAAACUCACCGAAAAAACCCCAAAUCCUACAUCGUCUUUUCUUCCCUCCUUACACUCUCCGGCGAUUUUCCAAUCCAACCUCUGUCGACGUGGCGAGGAGUUCCUCCGGUGACAGAAGCGACUUUCCUCUGGUGAGUUUUAUUUACCUUUGGCCGUAGACUUUCCUCUGGCCGUGUUCUUAUUAUCUAAAUUUACUCUACUGUCAAGUAUCUCAUAACUCAAGUCAUUAUUUCUAACACAAUCUCUUACCCAACUCACAAGAUCACCAUCACCAUCACAUCCACUUCCUUCUAAUUGUUGUAUAGAUUUUCUCCCUGUCACCCAGUUCUAGCAAAACAACUCCGUAGCUAUAGAUAUCACUUUUCUCUGUUACCUUCAUUGUAUAUGCAUAUUCUGCAGGGAAAGAAAUCACAAAAACAAAACAAAAGGUGUUAUUAUAAUUGCAAAUUUGCAUAUUCCAAUCUCAUUUCCCUCCAUUUCAUUUCCCCUAAUCUUGUUUCCCCCCAUUUCAUUUUCCCCAAUCUCAUUUCCUCCAAUAUUUUCCCCUGGCUUCAAUAUUACAACAUCGUUUCUUUCCCAUUCUUUCAGCCUAACCUUCCACAACCCUCAAUAAUCCAUCACUUCCAUGAUCGUGACCUAACCUUCCACAACAUUUAUGGACUGAGACAACAUAUUCCAGAAACGCUAAGUAAUUAAUACAUCAAUUUGAUUCUUCUUUGGUUUUCUAUAUUCUUCUUUUUCAUUUAGGCUUUUCAUUUUCUAUUUUUCCUCUUUUAUUCCUUAAUCUUCCUCUCUUCCUCUUACAUUCUCUUCUUUUUCCAUUUUAUUCUUCAUCGUUUAAUCUUUCUCUUUUUCUCAUUCUUGUUCAAGAUUUUCUGCUUUAAAACCUAGAUAUUGAAAAAUAAUUUUAGGGUUUGUCAUUCUUUUUAAUACUGUUUCGUUUUUGAUGCAACAAGUUUUUUUAUUGAAUUUGUUGGUAUAAAAUCUACUUCAAAAAGGAAUUGGUUCUAUCGAAUGUUUUGUAAGUCUAAUGUUUAAAACAGUAAAUAAAGAAUUUGGAUAUAAAGUAAAUAGAUCAUGUGUCACAACAUCUUAUCAUUUGAAUCUGUUAUCUUUAUCUUUUAAAUGGCCAAGUGUUAAAAAACUGUAAUUUGGGUAUAAGGAAUUUCCAAUGUUCUUCAACACCUGUCCGCCAUGUGCCAUGACAUCUUAUGUGAAUUCAUUAUCUUUUCAUUUUAGAUGACCAACUGUCAAAAAUCUGUAAUUUGUAAAAUAAUUUAUACGUAUUUUGUAAAUAUUAUAAUUGCUUAUGUAGGUAUCUACAUCUAUUUUUAAGGUUACGUUAUAUAUGAAAUAUAUUUUAUCAAUUUUGGCAUUCUAUUUAGCAUUAUGUUUUGCUUGUAUAUAUAAAUCUUAAAUGUUUUGCUGAUUUUUUUCUUUUAAAAUUUUAAAUGUUGUUUGAUUAUUAUUUUUUCAUUUUCAGAUUGAUUAGAAGAAGAAUAUAAAAAGCAAAGAAGGUAUCUUGUCAUUUAUUUAAUUUUAAGAUUUUAAAUCUAGGUUCUCAAAAUAACUUUGAUUUUAGAAAUGUCCAUACUCAAUAAUUCAUUCUCUGCACACUUGGAUCUCCUUUCUGUAUUUUUUUACAUAUUUGGGCAUUAUUUUGCUGAUUUGCUUGUAUUUUUUUUUCAUAUUUGGGGUUUUCAUUUUUAUUAGCAUUAUGUUGUUGUUGCUGAUUUGCUUGCUGAAUUCCUUAGCAUUUCAUUUAGCAUUAUGUUUGAUUAUAUAUAAAUCUUAAAUGUUUGUUGCUGAUUUAUUUGCUUGCUAAUGUUUGUAUUUUGCUUCUAUAUAUAAAUCUUAAUUGUUUUGCUGAUUUUUUUUUUAAAAUUUUAAAUGUUGUCUGAUUUUUUUUUUCUUUUUCAGAUUGAUUAGAAGAAGAAUAUAAAAGGCAAAAAAGGUAUCUUGUCAUUUAUUUAAUUUUAAGAUUUUAAAUCUAGGUUCUCAAAAUAACUUUGAUUUUAGAAAUAUCCAUACUCAAUAAUUCAUUCUCUGCACACUUAGAUCUCAUUCAACUAUCAAUAUCUCAUUUAUCCCUUUCAAUCAUUUCUGGUUAUGGAGUAUUAUAUCUCAUGAGAAUGAUUCAUAUGAGACAUCUUGGAUAAUGAGAUAUAACAUCUCAUUCGUUCCAUUUAUCCAACUUAUCUCUUCCCAAAAGUAAUGUUAUCCCCCCCUCCAAAUCGAUUUCCCCCCAAAACCCCCAAAACCCAAUUUAUUAAAUUAGGACCAAUUUAUUAAAUUACCCAAUUAAAUUACCAAAUUUCCCCAAAUACUUCCCCUAAACCUAAACCGUCCAUUUACCCCAAAUUUUUCCCAAAUUUCCCCAAAUGGGGACUAAUAAUGGACAAGUUUUUGGCACCAGAGUUCGUAGAAAAAUCAAAAAAGAAUUCAGCAAAUCGAACUAAAAACGACGAUUAUUUGGUGUACAAGGGUGGAUCGGCUUCUUUUGAAGCCAACUCUCAUGCAUUA
RNAcentral lists this long non-coding RNA (3322 nucleotides) under Zostera marina. RNAcentral describes it as "long non-coding RNA (ZMAR_LNC002835)". Lineage: Eukaryota; Viridiplantae; Streptophyta; Magnoliopsida; Alismatales; Zosteraceae. The record is from RNAcentral.